UACGAGGUGGACAAACGUUAUUCGGAUUUACUGGGCUUAAAGCGUGCGUAGGCGGCUCAGCAAGUUGGGUGUGAAAGCCCUCGGCUCAACCGAGGAAUUGCGCUCAAAACUACUGAGCUCGAGUGAGAUAGGGGAGAGCGGAACUGAUGGUGGAGCGGUGAAAUGCGUUGAUAUCAUCAGGAACACCGGUGGCGAAGGCGGCUCUCUGGAUCUUUACUGACGCUGAGGCACGAAAGCUAGGGGAGCAAACGGG
Molecule: ribosomal RNA, 253 nt
Filed under: uncultured bacterium
Lineage: Bacteria
Description: partial 16S ribosomal RNA
Rfam family: Bacterial small subunit ribosomal RNA
Source: RNAcentral